Molecule: ribosomal RNA, 732 nt
Filed under: Staphylococcus aureus
Lineage: Bacteria; Bacillati; Bacillota; Bacilli; Caryophanales; Staphylococcaceae
Description: partial 23S ribosomal RNA
Rfam family: Bacterial large subunit ribosomal RNA
Source: RNAcentral
CUCUUGAGUGGAUCCUGAGUACGACGGAGCACGUGAAAUUCCGUCGGAAUCUGGGAGGACCAUCUCCUAAGGCUAAAUACUCUCUAGUGACCGAUAGUGAACCAGUACCGUGAGGGAAAGGUGAAAAGCACCCCGGAAGGGGAGUGAAAUAGAACCUGAAACCGUGUGCUUACAAGUAGUCAGAGCCCGUUAAUGGGUGAUGGCGUGCCUUUUGUAGAAUGAACCGGCGAGUUACGAUUUGAUGCAAGGUUAAGCAGUAAAUGUGGAGCCGUAGCGAAAGCGAGUCUGAAUAGGGCGUUUAGUAUUUGGUCGUAGACCCGAAACCAGGUGAUCUACCCUUGGUCAGGUUGAAGUUCAGGUAACACUGAAUGGAGGACCGAACCGACUUACGUUGAAAAGUGAGCGGAUGAACUGAGGGUAGCGGAGAAAUUCCAAUCGAACCUGGAGAUAGCUGGUUCUCUCCGAAAUAGCUUUAGGGCUAGCCUCAAGUGAUGAUUAUUGGAGGUAGAGCACUGUUUGGACGAGGGGCCCCUCUCGGGUUACCGAAUUCAGACAAACUCCGAAUGCCAAUUAAUUUAACUUGGGAGUCAGAACAUGGGUGAUAAGGUCCGUGUUCGAAAGGGAAACAGCCCAGACCACCAGCUAAGGUCCCAAAAUAUAUGUUAAGUGGAAAAGGAUGUGGCGUUGCCCAGACAACUAGGAUGUUGGCUUAGAAGCAGCCAUCAUUUAAAG